UGUGUGUGUGUGUGUAGGUUCUCCUCUGUGCGUCUAACCAGAGCGGCAGUAUUGUAGAGUGUUGGUCUCUGAGGAAGGAGGGACUUCCUGUCAACAACAUCUUCCAGCAUCGUUCACCAGUUGUGGGAGAGAAGCAGCCCACCAUCUUGAAGUGGAGGAUAUUGACGACCACUAACGACCUGGAACGAGUCUCAGCUGUCGCUCUGCCCAAACUGCCCAUCUCCAUCUCCAACACCGACCUGAAGGUGGCGUCAGACACCAAGUUCUGUCCCGGACUUGGUCUGGCUCUGGCUUUUCAUGAUGGCAGUAUUCAGAUCCUCCACCGUCUGUCUCUUCACACCAUGGGCGUUUUCUACGGCUCCUCCUCCUCAUCCAGUCAGCGACCCGGAGACGAGUCCGCCAUCAAGCGACAGAGAACCGGAGGUCCUGCGCUCCACUUCAAGGCCCUUCAGUUCUCCUGGACGUCUCUGGCGCUGACUGGUGUCGAUAACCACGGAAAG
Paralichthys olivaceus (Japanese flounder) is the source of this 500-nucleotide non-coding RNA. Lineage: Eukaryota; Metazoa; Chordata; Actinopteri; Pleuronectiformes; Paralichthyidae. The record is from RefSeq and is a predicted model, not a curated record.